GAAGGUAUUUACAGAUUUGGCUUUUAUAACCUCAUUUGGGAUGCAGCAGCCAGGCUCGUUAGCAGGCACAGCCUCAGCAGAUGCUCAGGCUGCAGACAGCGAUGGGGCUGCUAUCGCUCCCAGAUGUUUAUCACCGCCACAGCUAAUUACUUCCACAGUUCCUCCACACAUGGAUGGUUUCUGAUCCUUUUUACAUCGAGUCAGCCAGGCUGCUUCGGGCCUCUCCCUGCUAAAGGUGGCUAUGAUGGAAAGCAGCUGACAUGGUCUGAAGCAGUUGCGGUGCACUCGAACAACCCCUGCUCUUGGCUGACCUACUCCUGUGGUAGUUUCUGGCUCAUGUGUGUCGAUUCUCAGCUCACAGCAGGACCAUCUCCUACCAGCACUCUACCUCAGGACACACAGGAUUUGGGUACCUGAGCAAAGCGUGUGGAAAACCCAAGGAAAAACUUAAGGUCAUGGAACUGGAAGCUGAUGCCUGAUCUGCAAUCAGAAACUCCACUGAUACCUGUGGUGAAAGAGAAUUCAUAAAAGAUCAUGGUCUUCAAAGCAAAGGAGAAAAAAACCAGGGAAGCCUUUUAUAAAAUGAGGGCACGGUGUUUUCUAAAGA
Cyanistes caeruleus (blue tit) is the source of this 607-nucleotide long non-coding RNA. RefSeq lists it as uncharacterized. Lineage: Eukaryota; Metazoa; Chordata; Aves; Passeriformes; Paridae. The record is from RefSeq and is a predicted model, not a curated record.